Molecule: ribosomal RNA, 450 nt
Filed under: uncultured Glomeromycotina
Lineage: Eukaryota; Fungi; Glomeromycota
Description: SSU rRNA
Rfam family: Eukaryotic small subunit ribosomal RNA
Source: RNAcentral
AGCAGCCGCGGUAAUUCCAGCUCCAAUAGCGUAUAUUAAAGUUGUUGCAGUUAAAAAGCUCGUAGUUGAAUUUCGGGGCCAGUAAGUUGGUCGUGCCACUGGUAUGUACUGGCUUUACUGGUCUCUCCUUCUUGAAGAACCGUGAUGCCAUUAAUUUGGUGUUGCGGGGAAACAGGACUGUUACUUUGAAAAAAUUAGAGUGCUUAAGGCAGGCUUACGCUUGAAUACAUUAGCAUGGAAUAACGAAAUAGGACGCUCGAUUCUAUUUUGUUGGUUUCUAGGAUCGACGUAAUGAUUAAUAGGGAUAGUUGGGGGCAUUAGUAUUCAAUUGUCAGAGGUGAAAUUCUUGGAUUUAUUGAAGACUAACUACUGCGAAAGCAUUUGCCAAGGAUGUUUUCAUUAAUCAAGAACGAAAGUUAGGGGAUCGAAGACGAUCAGAUACCGUCGUAG